Molecule: ribosomal RNA, 166 nt
Filed under: Curvularia hawaiiensis
Lineage: Eukaryota; Fungi; Ascomycota; Dothideomycetes; Pleosporales; Pleosporaceae
Description: 5.8S ribosomal RNA
Rfam family: 5.8S ribosomal RNA
About the family: 5.8S ribosomal RNA (5.8S rRNA) is a component of the large subunit of the eukaryotic ribosome. It is transcribed by RNA polymerase I as part of the 45S precursor that also contains 18S and 28S rRNA.
Source: RNAcentral
CAACUUUCAACAACGCGUCUCCCGCUCCUGGCAUCGAUGAAGAACGCAGCGAAAUGCGAUACGUAACUUGAAUUGCAGAAUUCAGUGAAUCAUCGAAUCUUUGAACGCACAUUGCGCCCUUUGGUAUUCCAAAGGGCAUGCCUGUUCGAGCGUCAUUUGUACCCUC